Molecule: ribosomal RNA, 450 nt
Filed under: uncultured bacterium
Lineage: Bacteria
Description: partial 16S ribosomal RNA
Rfam family: Bacterial small subunit ribosomal RNA
Source: RNAcentral
GUGGGGAAUAUUGGACAAUGGGCGAAAGCCUGAUCCAGCCAUGCCGCGUGUGUGAAGAAGGUCUUCGGAUUGUAAAGCACUUUAAGUUGGGAGGAAGGGCAGUAAGUUAAUACCUUGCUGUUUUGACGUUACCGACAGAAUAAGCACCGGCUAACUUCGUGCCAGCAGCCGCGGUAAUACGAAGGGUGCAAGCGUUAAUCGGAAUUACUGGGCGUAAAGCGCGCGUAGGUGGUUUUGUAAGUUGGAGGUGAAAUCCCCGGGCUCAACCUGGGAACUGCCUCCAAAACUGCAUGACUAGAGUACGGUAGAGGGCAGUGGAAUUUCCUGUGUAGCGGUGAAAUGCGUAGAUAUAGGAAGGAACACCAGUGGCGAAGGCGACUACCUGGACUGAUACUGACACUGAGGUGCGAAAGCGUGGGGAGCAAACAGGAUUAGAAACCCUAGUAGUCC